UUGGCCUUGACAUACUAAGAACUUUCCAGAGAUGGAUUGGUGCCUUCGGGAACUUAGAUACAGGUGCUGCAUGGCUGUCGUCAGCUCGUGUCGUGAGAUGUUGGGUUAAGUCCGCAACGAGCGCAACCCUUUUCCUUAUUUGCCAGCGGGUAAUGCCGGGAACUUUAAGGAUACUGCCAGUGACAAACUGGAGGAAGGCGGGGACGACGUCAAGUCAUCAUGGCCCUUACGGCCAGGGCUACACACGUGCUACAAUGGUCGGUACAAAGGGUUGCUACCUCGCGAGAGGAUGCUAAUCUCAAAAAGCCGAUCGUAGUCCGGAUCGCAGUCUGCAACUCGACUGCGUGAAGUCGGAAUCGCUAGUAAUCGCGGAUCAGAAUGCCGCGGUGAAUACGUUCCCGGGCCUUGUACACACCGCCCGUCACACCAUGGGAGUUCGUUGCACCAGAAGUAGGUAGUCUAACCGCAAGGAGGACGCUUACCACGGUGUGGCCGAUGACUGGGGUGAAGUCGUAACAAGGUAGGCGUAGAUGA
Molecule: ribosomal RNA, 534 nt
Filed under: uncultured bacterium
Lineage: Bacteria
Description: bacterial SSU rRNA
Rfam family: Bacterial small subunit ribosomal RNA
Source: RNAcentral